Molecule: ribosomal RNA, 497 nt
Filed under: uncultured bacterium
Lineage: Bacteria
Description: partial 16S ribosomal RNA
Rfam family: Bacterial small subunit ribosomal RNA
Source: RNAcentral
GAUGAACGCUGGCGGCGUGCCUAAUACAUGCAAGUCGAGCGAACGGACGAGAAGCUUGCUUCUCUGAUGUUAGCGGCGGACGGGUGAGUAACACGUGGAUAACCUACCUCUAAGACUGGGAUAACUUCGGGAAACCGGAGCUAAUACCGGAUCAUAUUUUGAACCGCAUGGUUCAAAAGUGAAAGACGGUCUUGCUGUCACUUAUAGAUGGAUCCGCGCUGCAUUAGCUAGUUGGUAAGGUAACGGCUUACCAAGGCAACGAUGCAUAGCCGACCUGAGAGGGUGAUCAGCCACACUGGAACUGAGACACGGUCCAGACUCCUACGGGAGGCAGCAGUAGGGAAUCUUCCGCAAAGGGCGAAAGCCUGACGGAGCAACGCCGCGUGAGUGAUGAAGGUCUUCGGAUCGUAAAACUCUGUUAUUAGGGAAGAACAUAUGUGUAAGUAACUGUGCACAUCUUGACGGUACCUAAUCAGAAAGCAACGGCUAACUACGUG